Molecule: ribosomal RNA, 492 nt
Filed under: uncultured bacterium
Lineage: Bacteria
Description: partial 16S ribosomal RNA
Rfam family: Bacterial small subunit ribosomal RNA
Source: RNAcentral
AGUGAACGCUGGCGGUAGGCCUAACACAUGCAAGUCGAACGGCAGCACAGUAAGAGCUUGCUCUUACGGGUGGCGAGUGGCGGACGGGUGAGGAAUACAUCGGAAUCUACUUUUUCGUGGGGGACAACGUAGGGACACUUACGCUAAUACCGCAUACGACCUACGGGUGAAAGCAGGGGUUCUUCGGACCUUGCGCGAUUGAUUGAGCCGAUGUCGGAUUAGCUAGUUGGCGGGGUAAAGGCCCACCAAGGCGACGAUCCGUAGCUGGUCUGAGAGGAUGAUCAGCCACACUGGAACUGAGACACGGUCCAGACUCCUACGGGAGGCAGCAGUGGGGAAUAUUGGACAAUGGGCGCAAGCCUGAUCCAGCCAUACCGCGUGGGUGAAGAAGGCCUUCGGGUUGUAAAGCCCUUUUGUUGGGAAAGAAAAGCAGCAGGUUAAUACCCCGCUGUUCUGACGGUACCCAAAGAAUAAGCACCGGCUAACUUCGUG